AGCAGCCGCGGUAAUUCCAGCUCCAAUAGCGUAUAUUAAAGUUGUUGCAGUUAAAAGGCUCGUAGUUGAAUUUCGGGAUCAAUUAAUUGGUCGUGCCUAUGGUACGUACUGAUUUUAUUGGUUUCUCCCUUCUGACGAACCAUGAUGUCAUUAAUUUGGUGUCGUGGAGAAUCAGGACUGUUACUUUGAAAAAAUUAGAGUGUUUAAAGCAGGCUAACGCUUGAAUACAUUAGCAUGGAAUAAUGAAAUAGGACGUUUGAUCCUAUUUUGUUGGUUUCUAGGAUCGACGUAAUGAUUAAUAGGGAUAGUUGGGGGCAUUAGUAUUCAAUUGUCAGAGGUGAAAUUCUUGGAUUUAUUGAAGACUAACUACUGCGAAAGCAUUUGCCAAGGAUGUUUUCAUUAAUCAAGAACGAAAGUUAGGGAUCGAAGACGAUCAGAUACCGUCGUAGUCUUAACCAUAAACUAUGCCGACUAGGGAUCGGGAUGAUGUUAAUUUUUAAUGACUCAUUCGGCGCCUUAA
Molecule: unclassified non-coding RNA, 520 nt
Filed under: uncultured Glomus
Lineage: Eukaryota; Fungi; Glomeromycota; Glomeromycetes; Glomerales; Glomeraceae
Description: SSU rRNA
Rfam family: Eukaryotic small subunit ribosomal RNA
Source: RNAcentral